AGGAUGAACGCUAGCUACAGGCUUAACACAUGCAAGUCGAGGGGCAGCAUUUCAGUUUGCUUGCAAACUGGAGAUGGCGACCGGCGCACGGGUGAGUAACACGUAUCCAACCUGCCGAUAACUCGGGGAUAGCCUUUCGAAAGAAAGAUUAAUACCCGAUGGUAUAAUCAGACCGCAUGGUCUUGUUAUUAAAGAAUUUCGGUUAUCGAUGGGGAUGCGUUCCAUUAGGCAGUUGGUGAGGUAACGGCUCACCAAACCUUCGAUGGAUAGGGGUUCUGAGAGGAAGGUCCCCCACAUUGGAACUGAGACACGGUCCAAACUCCUACGGGAGGCAGCAGUGAGGAAUAUUGGUCAAUGGGCGCAGGCCUGAACCAGCCAAGUAGCGUGAAGGAUGACUGCCCUAUGGGUUGUAAACUUCUUUUAUAUGGGAAUAAAGUUUUCCACGUGUGGAAUUUUGUAUGUACCAUAUGAAUAAGGAUCGGCUAACUCCGUGCCAGCAGCCGCGGUAAUACGGAGGAUCCGAGCGUUAUCCGGAUUUAUUGGGUUUAAAGGGAGCGUAGGUGGACAGUUAAGUCAGUUGUGAAAGUUUGCGGCUCAACCGUAAAAUUGCAGUUGAUACUGGCUGUCUUGAGUACAGUAGAGGUGGGCGGAAUUCGUGGUGUAGCGGUGAAAUGCUUAGAUAUCACGAAGAACUCCGAUUGCGAAGGCAGCUCACUGGACUGCAACUGACACUGAUGCUCGAAAGUGUGGGUAUCAAACAGGAUUAGAUACCCUGGUAGUCCACACAGUAAACGAUGAAUACUCGCUGUUUGCGAUAUACAGUAAGCGGCCAAGCGAAAGCAUUAAGUAUUCCACCUGGGGAGUACGCCGGCAACGGUGAAACUCAAAGGAAUUGACGGGGGCCCGCACAAGCGGAGGAACAUGUGGUUUAAUUCGAUGAUACGCGAGGAACCUUACCCGGGCUUAAAUUGCAUUUGAAUAUAUUGGAAACAGUAUAGCCGUAAGGCAAAUGUGAAGGUGCUGCAUGGUCGUCGUCAGCUCGUGCCGUGAGGUGUCGGCUUAAGUGCCAUAACGAGCGCAACCCUUAUCUUUAGUUACUAACAGGUCAUGCUGAGGACUCUAGAGAGACUGCCGUCGUAAGAUGUGAGGAAGGUGGGGAUGACGUCAAAUCAGCACGGCCCUUACGUCCGGGGCUACACACGUGUUACAAUGGGGGGUACAGAAGGCAGCUACCUGGUGACAGGAUGCUAAUCCCAAAAGCCUCUCUCAGUUCGGAUCGAAGUCUGCAACCCGACUUCGUGAAGCUGGAUUCGCUAGUAAUCGCGCAUCAGCCAUGGCGCGGUGAAUACGUUCCCGGGCCUUGUACACACCGCCCGUCAAGCCAUGAAAGCCGGGGGUACCUGAAGUACGUAACCGCAAGGAGCGUCCUAGGGUAAAACUGGUAAUUGGGGC
RNAcentral lists this ribosomal RNA (1452 nucleotides) under uncultured organism. RNAcentral's name for it is "16S ribosomal RNA". It matches the Rfam family "Bacterial small subunit ribosomal RNA". The record is from RNAcentral.